UACGUAGGGGGCAAGCGUUGUCCGGAAUUAUUGGGCGUAAAGAGCGCGUAGGCGGUCCGGUAAGUCGGUUGUGAAAGUCGGGGGCUCAACCCUCGGAUGCCGAUCGAUACUGUCGGGCUAGAGUCCGGAAGAGGCGAGUGGAAUUCCUGGUGUAGCGGCGAAAUGCGCAGAUAUCAGGAAGAACACCCGUGGCGAAGGCGGCUCUCUGGAACGCAACUGACGCUGAGACGCGAAAGCGUGGGGAGCAAACAGG
Molecule: ribosomal RNA, 253 nt
Filed under: uncultured bacterium
Lineage: Bacteria
Description: partial 16S ribosomal RNA
Rfam family: Bacterial small subunit ribosomal RNA
Source: RNAcentral